CAUAUCAAUAAGCGGAGGAAAAGAAACCAACAGGGAUUGCCUUAGUAACGGCGAGUGAAGCGGCAACAGCUCAAAUUUGAAAUCUGGCUCUUUUAGGGUCCGAGUUGUAAUUUGUAGAGGAUGCUUCGGCGUGGGCCCCGGUCUAAGUUCCUUGGAACAGGACGUCACAGAGGGUGAGAAUCCCGUACGUGGCCGGUGGCGCUCGCCAUGUGAAGCUCCUUCGACGAGUCGAGUUGUUUGGGAAUGCAGCUCUAAAUGGGAGGUAAAUUUCUUCUAAAGCUAAAUACCGGCCAGAGACCGAUAGCGCACAAGUAGAGUGAUCGAAAGAUGAAAAGCACUUUGGAAAGAGAGUUAAAAAGUACGUGAAAUUGUUGAAAGGGAAGCGCUUGCAACCAGACCUGAUCGUAGCUGCUCAUCCGGGCUCCUGCCCGGUGCACUCUUCUGCGGUCAGGCCAGCAUCAGUUCUGGCGGUCGGAUAAAGGCGGCGGGAAUGUGGCUCCUCUCGGGGAGUGUUAUAGCCCGCCGCGUCAUGCGGCCAGCCGGGACUGAGGUCCGCGCUUCGGCUAGGAUGCUGGCGUAAUGGUUGUAAGCGGCCCGUCUUGAAACACGGACCAAGGAGUCUAACAUCUGUGCGAGUGUUUGGGUGUCAAGCCCGGACGCGUAAUGAAAGUGAACGGAGGCGGGAACCUUCGGGUGCACCGUCGACCGAUCCUGAUGUCUUCGGAUGGAUUUGAGUAAGAGCAUAGCUGUUGGGACCCGAAAGAUGGUGAACUAUGCCUGAAUAGGGUGAAGCCAGAGGAAACUCUGGUGGAGGCUCGCAGCGGUUCUGACGUGCAAAUCGAUCGUCAAAUUUGGGCAUAGGGGCGAAAGACUAAUCGAACUAUCUAGUAGCUGGUUCCUGCCGAAGUUUCCCUCAGGAUAGCAGUAACGUUUUCAGUUUUAUGAGGUAAAGCGAAUGAUUAGAGGCAUGGGGGUUGAAACAACCUUCACCUAUUCUCAAACUUUAAAUAUGUAAGAAGUCCUUGUUACUUAGUUGAACGUGGACAUUUGAAUGCACCGUUACUAGUGGGCCAUUUUUGGUAAGCAGAACUGGCGAUGCGGGAUGAACCGAACGCGGGGUUAAGGUGCCGGAAUGCACGCUCAUCAGACACCACAAAAGGUGUUAGUUCAUCUAGACAGCAGGACGGUGGCCAUGGAAGUCGGAAUCCGCUAAGGAGUGUGUAACAACUCACCUGCCGAAUGAACUAGCCCUGAAAAUGGAUGGCGCUCAAGCGUGCUACCCAUACCCCGCCGCCGGGGCAAGAGUUACGCCCCGGCGAGUAGGCAGGCGUGGAGGCCCGUGACGAAGCCUUGGGGGUGACCCCGGGUAGAACGGCCUCUAGUGC
RNAcentral lists this ribosomal RNA (1385 nucleotides) under Gloniopsis praelonga. Its description in RNAcentral is "eukaryotic LSU rRNA". It matches the Rfam family "Eukaryotic large subunit ribosomal RNA", at positions 39 to 1445 of the family's 3401-position model. The record is from RNAcentral. Lineage: Eukaryota; Fungi; Ascomycota; Dothideomycetes; Hysteriales; Hysteriaceae.